UGGGGAAUUUUGGACAAUGGGGGCAACCCUGAUCCAGCCAUGCCGCGUGCGGGAAGAAGGCCUUCGGGUUGUAAACCGCUUUUGUUAGGAACGAAAAGGUAUCUGUGAACAACAGGUAUUGCUGACGGUACCUAAAGAAUAAGCACCGGCUAACUACGUGCCAGCAGCCGCGGUAAUACGUAGGGUGCGAGCGUUAAUCGGAAUUACUGGGCGUAAAGCGUGCGCAGGCGGUUGGGUAAGACAGGUGUGAAAUCCCCGAGCUUAACUUGGGAACUGCACUUGUGACUGCUCAACUAGAGUAUGUCAGAGGGAGGUGGAAUUCCAAGUGUAGCAGUGAAAUGCGUAGAUAUUUGGAAGAACACCGAUGGCGAAGGCAGCCUCCUGGGAUAAUACUGACGCUCAUGCACGAAAGCGUGGGGAGCAAACAGG
This 429-nucleotide ribosomal RNA is filed under the name uncultured bacterium. Its description in RNAcentral is "bacterial SSU rRNA". It matches the Rfam family "Bacterial small subunit ribosomal RNA", at positions 355 to 776 of the family's 1533-position model. The record is from RNAcentral.